This 303-nucleotide ribosomal RNA is filed under the name uncultured bacterium. RNAcentral's name for it is "partial 16S ribosomal RNA". It matches the Rfam family "Bacterial small subunit ribosomal RNA", at positions 507 to 807 of the family's 1533-position model. The record is from RNAcentral.
AGCAGUCGCCGCGGUAAUACGAAGGGUGCAAGCGUUAAUCGGAAUUACUGGGCGUAAAGCGUGCGUAGGCGGUGAGUUAAGUCUGCUGUGAAAUCCCCGGGCUCAACCUGGGAAUGGCAGUGGAUACUGGCUCGCUAGAGUGUGUCAGAGGAUGGUGGAAUUCCCGGUGUAGCGGUGAAAUGCGUAGAGAUCUGGAGGAAUACCGAUGGCGAAGGCAGCCAUCUGGCCUAAUACUGACGCUGAGGUACGAAAGCAUGGGGAGCAAACAGGAUUAGAUACCCGUGUAGUCCCUGUCUCUUAUAC